CUGCUGGGAUAGUAAAGCAGCAUCCCCACGCAAAUUGCACCUCUGGCUGCUGGAUUUGGAUUGAACAGUGGUAUAACCAUGAACUUGAGUAUGUUUUGGUUGGUUGGUUGGUGAUGAGUCAACUGAGCAGCUAUGGAGGAUUUUCAAGAACAAUUGGCCUUAAGACUCUUGAAUCUCAUUUUAAGAUUGUGGUAAGACUGUCCUUGCUCUCUCCUCAAUCUUUACAUAACAGUUGCCAACACAGAAGGAUGAAGAAGAGCACAUGUAAGACUUCCAUUCAUUCAGUGAAUGAAUGUGCAAGAUGUGUUCAUGUGCAAGAUGCUGUUGCCACGCCAGCACUGUUGGGACUUGCUUGGAAGGUAUCAGCUUCUUCAUCCUUAACAUGAUAAUGAUCUGGAUGAGAUCCUGCACAAGGCUUCCCCCAGCUUCAAGUUUUGGUGAAGAGCUACUAACUUUCAGCAUUUGUUCAUGAAAAAUAAUUCUGACAGCAUUAUUACUUGGAAUAUUUUCCAUGAAAUACACAAAAGAAUUACUUCUGUGAAUAUAGUUUUGAAUUAUAUGAAGAUGUUUGCAAAAUCUUAUUUUUAUUUAGCCAUCAGUAAAUUUCUUAUCAUUAUUUAUUCCUGUUUCAAUUCACCAAAUGUACUAUUGCUUGGAAACUUGUACUCAAGAAACACUAAACUAAUCAAGUCUAUAUUCAGGCAAGUGUAAUCAGUUAUGUAGUUAAUUAUGUAUAUAAAUUUCUUUUUGGAUCCCUUGCUGUUUAAGCUCUGAGAUUUAAAACUGUUAUUUGGAACUGGAAAGCAAAAUUUAGUGCCAGGCAUUAGACUUUUUUUCCUCCUGCUCAGUUGCAGAAAAGUAUAAGAUACUAAAUCUUGACUUAGUAGUGCAGUUAUAAAAUGUCAUAUUUUCCAAAUAAUCCUUUGUGUGUAUGCACAUACACACGCACACAUAUUGCUCAGAGGAAUAUGCAAAUACUGUUAAAUGUAUUACAAUUUUGGCCAGAAACAAAGCCCCUGGCAAAAGACUGAGAGAAUCCAAAGCAUUUUGCCACUUUUAAACCUGCUUCUAUUCCUCUUCUGAUUUAUGGCUCUAGCAGGAGCCACCAUUACCGUACUGCAUGGAUGGCAU
Long non-coding RNA from Canis lupus familiaris (dog), 1131 nucleotides. RefSeq lists it as uncharacterized. The transcript has 3 exons. Lineage: Eukaryota; Metazoa; Chordata; Mammalia; Carnivora; Canidae. The record is from RefSeq and is a predicted model, not a curated record.